AUUGAGCGCUGGCGGCAGGCCUAACACAUGCCAGUCGAACGGUAACAGGAAGAAGCUUGCUUCUUUGCUGACGAGUGGCGGACGGGUGAGUAAUGUCUGGGAAACUGCCUGAUGGAGGGGGAUAACUACUGGAAACGGUAGCUAAUACCGCAUAACGUCGCAAGACCAAAGAGGGGGACCUUCGGGCCUCUUGCCAUCGGAUGUGCCCAGAUGGGAUUAGCUAGUAGGUGGGGUAACGGCUCACCUAGGCGACGAUCCCUAGCUGGUCUGAGAGGAUGACCAGCCACACUGGAACUGAGACACGGUCCAGACUCCUACGGGAGGCAGCAGUGGGGAAUAUUGCACAAUGGGCGCAAGCCUGAUGCAGCCAUGCCGCGUGUAUGAAGAAGGCCUUCGGGUUGUAAAGUACUUUCAGCGGGGAGGAAGGGAGUAAAGUUAAUACCUUUACUCAUUGACGUUACCCGCAGAAGAAGCACCGGCUAACUCCGUG
Molecule: ribosomal RNA, 490 nt
Filed under: uncultured bacterium
Lineage: Bacteria
Description: partial 16S ribosomal RNA
Rfam family: Bacterial small subunit ribosomal RNA
Source: RNAcentral